GUAGGUGGCAAGCGUUGUCCGGAAUUAUUGGGCGUAAAGCGCGCGCAGGCGGUUCUUUAAGUCUGAUGUGAAAGCCCACGGCUCAACCGUGGAGGGUCAUUGGAAACUGGAGAACUUGAGUACAGAAGAGGAAAGCGGAAUUCCACGUGUAGCGGUGAAAUGCGUAGAGAUGUGGAGGAACACCAGUGGCGAAGGCGGCUUUCUGGUCUGUAACUGACGCUGAGGCGCGAAAGCGUGGGGGAGCAAACAGGAUUAGAUACCUGGUAGUCCACGCCGUAAACGAUGAGUGCUAAGUGUUAGGGGGUUUCCGCCCCUUAGUGCUGCAGCUAACGCAUUAAGCACUCCCGCCUGGGAGUACGGCCGCAAGGCUG
RNAcentral lists this ribosomal RNA (371 nucleotides) under uncultured organism. Its description in RNAcentral is "partial 16S ribosomal RNA". It matches the Rfam family "Bacterial small subunit ribosomal RNA", at positions 527 to 896 of the family's 1533-position model. The record is from RNAcentral.